This 460-nucleotide ribosomal RNA is filed under the name uncultured bacterium. RNAcentral's name for it is "partial 16S ribosomal RNA". It matches the Rfam family "Bacterial small subunit ribosomal RNA", at positions 338 to 795 of the family's 1533-position model. The record is from RNAcentral.
CCUACGGGAGGCAGCAGUGAGGAAUAUUGGUCAAUGGGCGCGAGCCUGAACCAGCCAAGUAGCGUGAAGGAUGACUGCCCUAUGGGUUGUAAACUUCUUUUAUAAAGGAAUAAAGUGAUGCACGUGUGCUUUUUUGUAUGUACCUUAUGAAUAAGGAUCGGCUAACUCCGUGCCAGCAGCCGCGGUAAUACGGAGGAUCCGAGCGUUAUCCGGAUUUAUUGGGUUUAAAGGGAGCGUAGAUGGGUUGUUAAGUCAGUUGUGAAAGUUUGCGGCUCAACCGUAAAAUUGCAAUUGAUACUGGCAGUCUUGAGUACAGUAGAGGUAGGCGGAAUUCGUGGUGUAGCGGUGAAAUGCGUAGAUAUCACGAAGAACUCCGAUUGCGAAGGCAGUUUACUAAACUGCCACUGACACUGAUGCUCGAAAGUGUGGGGAUCAAACAGGAUUAGAUACCCCGGUAGUC